GGCACUUUGGCGGAGUGGUUAACGCGAUGCCCUGCUAUAAAUGUAGUGCGAAAGGCAUUCCCUUCGGGGGCGUGUGUUCGAAUCACACAGGUGUCG
Daldinia caldariorum is the source of this 96-nucleotide non-coding RNA. The record is from the annotation of a RefSeq genome assembly. Lineage: Eukaryota; Fungi; Ascomycota; Sordariomycetes; Xylariales; Hypoxylaceae.